AAAGCAGGCUGUGGGUCACACUGACUCCCCCCUCAUCCUGGAGGGAGUAGCCACCUGGUGCUGAGGGGUGGGGUACUCCCAAAUAAGGCAGAGUGGGGUCCAGGAACAGGCCUGAAGUCACACCCAGGCAGAUGGAUCCACCACCCCUCACUGAAAACAGAAAAUGCAGAUUCCUUCCCUUCCAGGCACUUGAGGGGUUGGGCGAGAGGGUCCCCAGGUCUGCACCCCAUGCUUUCAAGCUAAGCUUCCACGUUCCCUCUCAGAGUUGGUGAGGCCCACAAACUCAGGCUGGGUGCUCUCCCAUCUGUGGAGAGCCACUGUUGAGCGCUGCUUGGACAGAGAAGACAUUUGCUUCACCUGAGCUCCGACAGGACUUCCUAGUCACAGAUUAACUGAGUUGGGUCAUUGCUCACUAGCUCCAGUGUUUACCACUGAGCUAAUAUUUGCCUAAUAAGUAAGCGCCAGGUGUGGGGCCUCUGUUUCAGAAAGCAAGCACCCUGGGUAGCUCAGGAGAUGGUGUGUCAGGGUCCUGGAGCAUACUGCCUGCGGCUCAGUCCUCCCUAAGCCUCGGCCCAGAAGGUGUUAGGGGCACCCAUCCAUGCUGCCCCAAUUCCAUGGGAAGGUGCUACAGCCCUCUUGAGAAUGCUGACACGUUUAAGUGCCCCAUAAGUGCCCACCGUUCCCAGUGCACAGCGGAAGUGCCAGUGUGCAAAGCCACCGCCGCUCUGGGGCCCACCACAGCUGCACCCCGGGCAGCCUCACCUUGCUUUACAGAAAGGAGACAUGGAGAUCCGAUGGCAUUGCCUGGGCUUGAUUCCUAUACCUCAGCCUCAUCACAGACGGCUUGAAGAGACCACGCCUUGGACUCAGAACCAAGGAAGAUACACAGAGGCUCAGUAUUCUACAGUAUUGACCUGACAUCCAUGUAGUAAAUGUCACCAACCCCAAGCAGUAGGCGUGAGUCUACCAGGGAAUUGUGACAAAGUGCAGAAGACUAGGUGGUCUAAAGAAAAGAAAUGUGUUGUUGGUUCCAGAACCCAGAAGCUCAGGAUCGAGGUGUCCACAGGGCUAGUUCCUCUGAGGGCCCCAAGAGCCUUCCAGGACUCUGGUGGAUGAAGGCCUUCUUUGACAUCCCUGGGGCCUCCCAGCACAGCGCUGCUCCGUCUCAACUCCUCAGCCUGACGGCGCUGGUCACACCACAGAAGCUUCAGCACCAUGAUGCUGCCAUAGCCACAGAGGAAAGAAACUGCAGCUUAGACAGACCUGGUGGCCACAGGCCCACAGUGGGGUCUCUCAUUGCUGAGAAUAACCUUGAACUACCUCAUCCUAUACAUUUUCCAGCUUUGGUCUCUGUGUGACUGAACAUCUUUUUAGAAGUUCACCAUCCAUGUUCAUUUCUUUCGUGAAAUACAAACCUUGCAUACUUUGCCCAUUUUUAUUAGGCCUUUUGUCAUUUUUUCCCACUGACUCAUAGAGCCUUCUGCGUCUAAGAACCUUACUCCUUAAAGAAUGUGAGACACUCAUCUUCCUGUGGCCUACUGGAUGCCCAUUUUCUUGGUGUGUCUUUGAUCACAGAAACAUUUCGCAAUGCCAUAUACUCAUAGGACUCCUGGUUUUCUUGACGUGCUGUGAAGGGAAGGACUGUCCGCUUUGCCUAGUGUGCAGAGCAGGUGGGCCUCCUGCCGCAUCGCUGUGAGGACAAUGGCCCAGAGAAUGGCGGGUGCAGUAGUUGUCUUGUAUUCUUUUAGCAAUGUUGCGGUUUUAGUCACAUUCAGCCACCGGAGUGUCUGUGUGUGUACACCACAUGAAGCAGGGUUUUGUUAUUUGCUUCUAUUGGAGAACAGCCAUCCCAGUUUCCUCUACUGACAAAGCCACCCUUUCCCACUGACAUGAUAAUGCUUUGACAGACAUUUCUUAGACACGUUGGGCGCUGCUGUCAAGAUUGGCACAUGGCGGAACUCUGCGAACACUGGCUUCUGGGCACAGCUGGAAUGCCAGCUGGGUAGGAGCUAGCACCACCACAGUACAGCUGAACACAGAGCUCCAAACUCUGAAGAACUACAGCCCGCGAUCAUGGCUUUGGUUUGGCUUUUACUUUCAAGCCAGCUUGAUUUGUCCACCUUAACAUUUCCACCGUUUACAUUGGUUUAGGGUAAGCUACCAGGCAGUGACUCGGUGUGUGUGUCACUGGUGCAACCAGACCCUCACCCAAUCAAGAUACGUCCAUCUUUCAGGAGUUCCUUUGUUUUCCAUGUCGUUGGUCUCCCGCCCCUUUCCCCACAGGCAACGGCGAUUGUUCUAAAUGUGUGUGUGCAGACGCUUGAUAACAUUUUUCAGAGAAAUAAGCCACCCAGCAACACCAGUCAUUGGCUGGGGAGGAAAGCCAACUUCCCUCAAGGGCCUGCUCUUGGCUGGCAGCCAAGGAGCAGCAGAAGGACUGCAGGGACAAACAGCCCCGUGGAACUGAAGGCUUGAGGACUUCCCUCGUGGAACCGACUAGUGCUUUCUAGGCCAAAGAGACCCCAUCCCAGAUUACCUCAACAAGUUCCAUUGUGGUCAGUAUUUCCAAAGCUAAGAAUAAAACCUGUUAAAUAUUUA
Long non-coding RNA from Mesocricetus auratus (golden hamster), 2598 nucleotides. RefSeq lists it as uncharacterized. NCBI's taxonomy places the organism in Eukaryota, Metazoa, Chordata, Mammalia, Rodentia, Cricetidae. The transcript is spliced from 5 exons. The record is from RefSeq and is a predicted model, not a curated record.